CAGGGAGACUACAAAAUGUUUAAUUUUAUAAUUUUGUCACCUUAGGUCGAUCGGUAUCUCACGUUCUUAAUUAAUUAAGAAUUUCAUUUCCUAAGUUUUUCUAGGUCACACCCAUUAUUUUUCCUGGGCCAUUAGCUCAGGUGGUUAGAGCGCACCCCUGAUAAGGGUGAGGUCCCUGGUUCAAGUCCAGGAUGGCCCAUCUCUCUAUGUUGGGGGUAUAGCUCAGUUGGUAGAGCGCCUGCUUUGCAAGCAGGAUGUCAGCGGUUCGAGUCCGCUUACCUCCACUGAUUACCACCUCUUCCAUAAUCUGUAGAAAGGAAAUGUUUUGAGUUGUGAUCAAAUUCUGAACGAAUCUAGCUUCCUAAUGAAAAUAUUAAGAUGCUGGACUCAUUGAAUCAUCUUCAUUGUUUUCAGAGAACCUUGACAACUGCAUAGAUUAUUUUUAAAGACAAUAAGCAUCUUUAAUGAUGCAGAUUUAUUAUUUGUGCGAAUGCAUUAAUAACAAUUCUAUUAAGCUGAUGCUUCAAUUUUGAAGUUAUU
RNAcentral lists this transfer RNA (540 nucleotides) under uncultured cyanobacterium. RNAcentral describes it as "partial miscellaneous RNA". The stretch from base 212 to 284 matches the Rfam family "tRNA". The record is from RNAcentral. Lineage: Bacteria; Bacillati; Cyanobacteriota.